CCCUCCCCCAGCCUCGCUGCCGCCUUGCAGUUUGAUCUCAGACUGCUGUGCUAGCAAUUAGCAAGACUCCGUGGGCGUAGGACCCUCCGAGCCAGGUGCGGGUUAUAAUCUACUGGUGCGCCGUGUUUUAAGCCCGUGGAAAAGCACAGUAUUAGGGUGGGAGUGACCCGAUUUUCCAGGUGCCGUCGGUCACCCCUUUCUUUGACUAGGAAAGGGAACUCCCUGACCCCUUGCGCUUCCCGAGUGAGGCAAUGUCUCGCCCUGCUUUGGCUCGCGCAUGGUGCGCUGCACCCACUGUCCUGCGCCCACUGUCUGGCACUCCCUAGUGAGAUGAACGCGGUACCUCAGAUGGAAAUGCAGAAAUCACCUGUCUUCUGCGUCACUCAUGCUGGGAGCUGUAGACCCGAGCUGUUCCUGUUCGUCCAUCUUGGCUGUAAUCCCAGGUUCAUCAAAAUAAGAUAUGAUCAAGGUACAAAAGAGUUAAAGAAGCUAUUUAUUUUAAUGUUUCCUUGGAGAGCACACUUGUUAUUAUGCCUGCCCCAGCUUUGCCUUCCACCAUGAGUAAAAGCUUCCCAAGUCCUCCCCAGAAGCAGAUGCUGGCGCUAUGCUUCUGGUACAGCCUGAAAAACCUUGAGCCAAUUAAACCUCAGUGAGCUCAAGAUGUCUUUGUUGAAACAGAACCUCCCGAAGUUACAGUAUUGGUUUUGGGGCUCCACACAGAGAACACAUCACGGAAGCUAUAAUUGAGGAAGACAAAGCUGUCAGGACGACACCAAGAGAGUUAGAAAGCCCAAGAGUGGAGCAUUCUUCACCAUGAUUCCACCUGACACUUGGCUGAAAGCAUUUUGCACUAAUUUGCUUUGUGCCCGUUCAGACAAUCUAAAAAGAAAGGAUGGGGGGACAACAAGUGUCUAUUACACAGAAUAAACAGCCUCUGGCAAAUGAAUACAUUUUACACACUUGUGCUUUUGGAGGGAUGGGGUAGUGAUGAGGGGAAGGGGAAUGGAGGAGGAGAAGUCAAGGAUUAGAGGUCUCUUCAGCAUCUCAGGACUGCCUCUCUCUCUCUGUGGUCACAGGGGUAGGUUUGGUCCACAUGGCAGACAUGAAACUCAAGAUACAGCCCUGGCGUAUACGGGUUGGGAGGCCAGUGCUGCCUCUGGUGGUCCCCCCAGACCUGCAAUUCAUAUUUUGAAUGGGUUUAAAGCCUACUUGGCAAUUACUUUUAUCCUCUAAUGAAAUAGAUUUGAACCACUUUCCCUUGAUUAUAUUUUAAAUGUUU
This 1279-nucleotide long non-coding RNA is filed under the name Homo sapiens (human). RNAcentral describes it as "HSALNT0225491". Lineage: Eukaryota; Metazoa; Chordata; Mammalia; Primates; Hominidae. The record is from RNAcentral.